Molecule: ribosomal RNA, 253 nt
Filed under: uncultured bacterium
Lineage: Bacteria
Description: partial 16S ribosomal RNA
Rfam family: Bacterial small subunit ribosomal RNA
Source: RNAcentral
UACGUAGGUGGCAAGCGUUAUCCGGAUUUAUUGGGCGUAAAGGGAGCGUAGACGGUAAUGUAAGUCUGGAGUGAAAGGCGGGGGCCCAACCCCCGGACUGCUCUGGAAACUAUGUUACUAGAGUGCAGGAGAGGUAAGCGGAAUUCCUAGUGUAGCGGUGAAAUGCGUAGAUAUUAGGAGGAACACCAGUGGCGAAGGCGGCUUACUGGACUGUAACUGACGUUGAGGCUCGAAAGCGUGGGGAGCAAACAGG